GCCUAGUUAGCUUGGUUGGUAGUGCAUGCGUCUGCCUUGUAAGCGCUAGGCCGCGGGUUCGAUUCCCGCCCGGGGCG
RNAcentral lists this transfer RNA (77 nucleotides) under Diaphorina citri (Asian citrus psyllid). It matches the Rfam family "tRNA". Rfam says of the family: Transfer RNA (tRNA) molecules are approximately 80 nucleotides in length. The record is from Rfam by way of RNAcentral. Lineage: Eukaryota; Metazoa; Arthropoda; Insecta; Hemiptera; Psyllidae.